GGGGGUAAUCGGAGUUUUCACUCCCAACCCCUGUGACAUACCACUUGUUGCCUCGGCGGAUCAGCCCGCUCCCGGUAAAACGGGACGGCCCGCCAGAGGACCCCUAAACUCUGUUUCUAUAUGUAACUUCUGAGUAAAACCAUAAAUAAAUCAAAACUUUCAACAACGGAUCUCUUGGUUCUGGCAUCGAUGAAGAACGCAGCAAAAUGCGAUAAGUAAUGUGAAUUGCAGAAUUCAGUGAAUCAUCGAAUCUUUGAACGCACAUUGCGCCCGCCAGUAUUCUGGCGGGCAUGCCUGUUCGAGCGUCAUUUCAACCCUCAAGCACAGCUUGGUGUUGGGACUCGCGUUAAUUCGCGUUCCUCAAAUUGAUUGGCGGUCACGUCGAGCUUCCAUAGCGUAGUAGUAAAACCCUCGUUACUGGUAAUCGUCGCGGCCACGCCGUUAAACCCCAACUUCUGAAUGUUGACCUCGGAUCAGGUAGGAAUACCCGCUGAACUUAAGCAUAUCAAUAAGUCGGAGGAA
Molecule: ribosomal RNA, 522 nt
Filed under: uncultured Fusarium
Lineage: Eukaryota; Fungi; Ascomycota; Sordariomycetes; Hypocreales; Nectriaceae
Description: eukaryotic LSU rRNA
Rfam family: 5.8S ribosomal RNA (bases 155-308)
Source: RNAcentral